Molecule: ribosomal RNA, 527 nt
Filed under: uncultured bacterium
Lineage: Bacteria
Description: bacterial SSU rRNA
Rfam family: Bacterial small subunit ribosomal RNA
Source: RNAcentral
GACGUAGGAGGCGAGCGUUAUCCGGAUUCAUUGGGCGUAAAGGGCAAGUAGGCGGUUGUCAAAGUUGGGCGUGACAUCUCCUGGCUCAACUAGGAGAGGUCGUUCAAAACUAGGCAACUAGAGGGCAGAAGAGGAAAGCGGAACUCCUGAUGUAGCGGUGGAAUGCUCAGAUAUCAGGAAGAACACCAGUGGCGAAGGCGGCUUUCUGGUCUGCACCUGACGCUGAGAGGCGAAGGCCAGGGUAGCGAACGGGCUUAGAUACCCCGGUAGUCCUGGCAGUAAACGGUGGAUACUAGGUAUCAGGGGUCAAGGCCUUUGGUGCCGAAGCCAACGCGUUAAGUAUCCCGCCUGGGGACUACGGCCGCAAGGUUAAAACUCAAAGGAAUUGACGGGGACCCGCACAAGCAGCGGAGCGUGUGGUUUAAUUCGAUGCAACACGAAGAACCUCACCUGGGUUUGACAUAUACGUAGUAGGGAACCGAAAGGGGACCGACGCUUCGGCGAGCGUAUACAGGUGCUGCAUGGCU